RNAcentral lists this ribosomal RNA (253 nucleotides) under uncultured bacterium. RNAcentral describes it as "partial 16S ribosomal RNA". It matches the Rfam family "Bacterial small subunit ribosomal RNA", at positions 524 to 776 of the family's 1533-position model. The record is from RNAcentral.
UACGUAGGGUGCAAGCGUUGUUCGGAAUUACUGGGCGUAAAGCGCACGUAGGCGGAUAUUUAAGUCAGGGGUGAAAUCCCAGAGCUCAACUCUGGAACUGCCUUUGAUACUGGGUAUCUUGAGUAUGGAAGAGGUAAGUAGAAUUGCGAGUGUAGAGGUGAAAUUCGUAGAUAUUCGCAGGAACACCAGUGGCGAAGGCGGCUUACUGGUCCAUUACUGACGCUGAGGUGCGAAAGCGUGGGGAGCAAACAGG